AUGAACGCUGGCGGCGUGCCUAAUACAUGCAAGUCGAGCGAACAGACGAGGAGCUUGCUCCUCUGACGUUAGCGGCGGACGGGUGAGUAACACGUGGAUAACCUACCUAUAAGACUGGGAUAACUUCGGGAAACCGGAGCUAAUACCGGGUAAUAUAUUGAACCGCAUGGUUCAAUAGUGAAAGACGGUUUUGCUGUCACUUAUAGAUGGAUCCGCGCCGCAUUAGCUAGUUGGUAAGGUAACGGCUUACCAAGGCAACGAUGCGUAGCCGACCUGAGAGGGUGAUCGGCCACACUGGAACUGAGACACGGUCCAGACUCCUACGGGAGGCAGCAGUAGGGAAUCUUCCGCAAUGGGCGAAAGCCUGACGGAGCAACGCCGCGUGAGUGAUGAAGGUCUUCGGAUCGUAAAACUCUGUUAUUAGGGAAGAACAAAUGUGUAAGUAACUAUGCACGUCUUGACGGUACCUAAUCAGAAAGCCACGGCUAACUACGUG
This 496-nucleotide ribosomal RNA is filed under the name uncultured bacterium. Its description in RNAcentral is "partial 16S ribosomal RNA". It matches the Rfam family "Bacterial small subunit ribosomal RNA", at positions 29 to 507 of the family's 1533-position model. The record is from RNAcentral.